CAGGGGAUUGCAGUGGCAAAGCUAGGCUAGGUCUUGGAGGCUGGUGUAAGGCGAAGCGGGUGAAGGCAGGAGGCUGAUGGAGAGACUGGGGGGAAGAAAAGCCGAAAUGGAUUCACGGUGCCUUGGAUGGAGGACGAGAGGGGAACUGCAGGCUCCUUCAACUCGUUCUGUCCGGUGAGAAGUGAUCAAGCUUGGGCUGACAAGAGGCUCAGGGAGUCCUCACGUUCUUUCGCUUUUUUACCUGCCAAUCAAACUGCUACAAGACAACACCCUGAUCUGGCAUGGACAUGUAAGUAGCUUGCAACCCAACUUUGACAUUCACUGCUAGCUCACUCCUCUCCGCCCACCCCCCCAACUCACUUUCUUCCCCUCUCAUUCUUUUUUUUUUCUUUUGACCUUUAAGAGAUCUGGAAAUACACCCUGUGUAACAGUCAUUUAACACAGACAGAUUUAAGUCUGAAAGCGUUAACUUUUGGAAUUAAAUGCUAAUUGUGAUUUCUUUAACAAAUGCAGAAGUGAAGACAUUAUUUUAUUCUCUUCUGAACAGUUUUAGUGCUGAACAUAAUCAGUUGCCUGGCAAGGGUGUGUGUUUCUUUUUCCUUUGAAAAUAAAGAAACCCGUGAGCCCCCAGAGAGAGAUGCAGAAAUGAAAAACUCAGGCUUCCAUCUUAAAAAUGUCAAAUGCUAGCAUCUCAUCCCUACAAACACACACACACACACACACACACACACACAGAGAAAAACCAAACCAAAACAAAACCAAAACCAAAACCAAACAAAAAAACACCCUUCUCCAGACCAAGGUCACACAGAAUGGAAAGAGUGAUUUGAACCAAAAGGUACAUAUCAUUAAGGGGUUGCUACUCUUUGAUCUGGCGUCUUACUAUUUUGGUGGUGGUUGGGGUGGGGGUGUGAAAAAAGAGAAGGAAGAGGACAUGGCGAUACCUCAUUCUUUAUGAGAGACUGACAUUGAAGGGGCUAGAGAUACAAGAGGACAGGAGAAGCAGGAAAUAUUACCUGAGAGAAGGAAUCACAGAGCAUGGCGGAGCUGGAAGCUAGGAGGGCUUCGGUGGGAAGUUGUGCGAGAGGUGAUGGGGCUUGCUCUCUGGCGCCCUCUAAUGGCAAUCGGAACCAAUGUUUUACUUUCUUAAUUCAGUACUAGGAAAAGCAGCUGGGUUUUUGUUGUUGCUGUUGGUGGUUUUUCUCCGCAGGCUUAGAAACUAGAUACUAUUAGUGGAGUAAAUUGAUUGUUUUCAUCCCAGAAACUUAUGUAUAUGCCUUAAAAUUAUCAAUGUUUUCUCCUCAAACAUCCCCCCCCUCCCCAAAUUUUGUUAGACUAAUAGAGGAGGAAAGGGGUAAUGGCAGAUUGACUUAUUGAGGGUGGCCCAAACCCAAUUAGUAAUUCGCAGAAAGGGAUUCCUUUCCUACCUGAACAGCAUUCUGACUCUUCUAAUAUGUUGGAGAGGUCUUGGGGGCUGAGGUGGGGAGGGAUGAUUUGGAAAUUGCAGAUUCUGACACAGGCUCAUUAGAACACAAUUUAAGGGGGCCUCUUAGGAACCUCUGUUAUUGCGACAUGUGGUGGUCAGGGGGCUUUCCUUCCCGCCUCCUUUUUCUUUUUUCUUUUUCUUCUUUCUUUCGUUCUUUUUUUUUUUUUUUCCUUAAAUUUGGUAGAUAAAGGUUAAUCUUGGGCUGAAUGAUAGAGCUAUGAUUGACAAGAGAAAAGGUGUUGAGGGCAGGUCGCGCUGUCUUAUUUACAGCCCACUGCUUGCUGUAGAGUCUUUGUUAGGACUGGAAAGCUAAUUUAGUGCUGAUCAAAAGCACCACAGAGUUAAAGGACUGGUAAUGACUGCUAAUUUCAUUUCAGCCUCAUGCAUCCCCAACUGCUGUAAUUAAAGACACGCUAUUUAAAUACAGGUGAAGGUUUUUUUUUUUUUUUUUAAGUUAGGGUGGGGGUGGGUGGAUUACAAUAUUAUUUAGAUUUCAUCUUCUACAUGGGUGUUAUGUAGUCCAACAUCAGCUUUUUUAAAGAGCCGCUUCUUGUCAUUUAUACCUGGCUUUGCAGAAUCGGCAGUGUGAAAUAUGUCAAUCACACAAAAGCCCCUAUUUAAAGAAAAAAAAAAGCAGGAUGCAGAACAGUAAAUGUUUAGGGGGGUAUUUAAAUAUUUGGGUCUCUUUUAUUUUUCCCCUUCAAAUUAAUGGAAGGGCCUUCGAAAUAGCUAAAGUAUUUGAAACUUAGGGCAGGGUUAACAGGCCAAAGGGAUCAGUGUCAGCUUUUUAAGUACUUCUAAAAAGAUCAUGUGAACAGAUGGAAAAAUAUAUUUUUAAUUAAAUAAUUUCCCCCACACCGUAGCUGCAGUGUUGGCUCAGAAACCGUGUAAUUCCUCAACCGAUAGGAGUUUCUUUAUAAGAACAUCAAAGGAUAAAAAGCUCUACAUUUUCGUAGUUGGUUAAAAUUGAUAACCCCCCCCCCCCCCCACACACACACACCCAAAAAAAGAAUUUAGCCUUUAAUCUCUUUUUAUCCACGAAGACUAAAGCUCUGUACUCGACCCCGCGAGCGGCUCUCGCCUUCCGGGGCUGGAACCCGGCUCAGAUGUGAAGCGGCGCUGAGCCGCCGCGCAGGUUCGUGACCAGCGCCCCCUGUUGGACACAGUAGGAGAUGCACAGCGCCAGUCCUGGAAAUCGCGAGAACCUUGCUCUGGGGUUAGAUAAAACUCUUUAUUACCCUCCAAAAAGGAGAUGGGGCGAGGAAACAAGUUUUUAUAUCCUUGAAAGAUAGUAUAAUUUAAUUCAAUAAAAAAUAAAAAGGAGUUAACACAAUUUCAAUCCAAUCAAAAAUGAAGACUAACCUAUUCCUCUUUCUCACAUUGCAGCCACCCCCUACCCCCGUUUGGGUUUGGGACUCUUUUCAGAUUAUGAGAUAGUAAAACAGGUGGAGAAGCUUGAUAUAAAACAAAGGGAACUUUCUUUUGUAGCUAUGGAGAACCAAGCAAAUUACUUCUCCCGUUCUGUACACAUUUACAAAAAUAAAACGGAAGAGGCUACUGCUUGCUGCUUUGACGUUGUCAGCAGCAUCUUGAAUGCCCUCGGAGGUCCUUCAAGAAUUGUAACUGAGUCCCUGACUAAACGAAAUAACUUGCUCGUUUUUAUUUGUUUAUUUUCAGAGUGUAAUUAAGAGGCCAGUCUCUGCUUUGAAUGUUUCCCAUCCCCCAAAGCAAUCUUGAUCAAACUUUUCCUUUCCGGACUAGCGGUUAAAUUCCAGAUAUUGUUUAAGAAACAGGUGCCUGACACCUUUCUUCUUUUAUCUCAGCAUCUCAGCCGUAGGAUUUCAGGAAAGGUGUGCCAAUGGUAAAGAGUAUUUUCUUUUGAAAUUCAGCAUUUUCCUGGACCAGGAAUCCAAAUUAUCCUAGGGGGAAGAGGAGUACUUUUACAUCUCCAAAAGUAUCUGUUAACAUAAGAAAGAGCUUUGCCUUUUUCUUUGGUGAGCAAGUAAGGGUAAAAGUACACUUUGAAUUCUUUCAGAAAGAUAAACUAUAAAAAUGACAUAUCUUCUGGCAGGAAAAUAAUGGGAAAAUACGGGUUUGUUUGGGUGUUUAAAAUGAACUUGAAAACAAUUCGAGUGCUAAACGAACACCUGAUCUCAACAAGGUGUUUUAUGAUUUCGAUCUUCAGGGAUGUACUUAAAAUUUUAACUUUUAGGUAAAAACCUUAAGAUGUUUAGGACUUACUUUUUAAAAUUUUGCCUAUUGGAGGAAACCAGAUUAGUUUUCAUAACAGAAUUACUUUUUAAAAUAUUUAAUACUGUGGCCACGAGAUUUGUUUAUGUUGAUCUUACAUUGAUUCCUCCCACCUCCCCAAAUCAGCGGAUCCGAGAUUGUGUUUUCAAGGGAAUUGCUGUUCAAUGCGAUGAGAGAUGUCUUCUCCAUCUGAUUCCAGAAUCGAAUCUCAGCUUGUGUUUCUCAGUAAAUGACUUUGGAUACAGUGGCAGGAAAAGAAUCAAGGUUUUGAUCAGUUUUUACCCGGAAUCCUAUCGAAAUAACGGGCAAGCGGGAUUCCCUGCUACAGGCAACCCCACCCUUUGCUUUACCAAAAAACAAAAGCAAACAAACAAACAAAACCGAGUCCCCAUUACAGAAAUGUUAAGUCCGGGCCAGUUUGUGAACGAGGGCCAACCUCCUAAAGUACCAAACGGUGCGUGACAGCCGCGGUCCAAGGCUGCCCGUGGCGAGAGGAGGCCAAAGCCAGCAGAAUCUUGGAGGCGACCCGUGAAAGGGGAUAUAUGCCUGCUGUUCGGAAGGGAGGCAGAAUUUGCAAAACCAGAGGCCGGGAGAUUUCGACCUGGUACCGCCCCCCGGGGGGUCCCAACCUGUGGGGAGAAGCCAGGGGGAGGAGCCGCACUUGGCUGCAGGGGGGCAGUGUGUCCCCAACUUCCCAGGGCCCCAGGUGAGAGCGCAACCCCUAGUUUAGCAAAGGGAACUAAAUAAGUGGGUGGCCUAGGCCUGGGAAAGCCACCCAGCUUUCCCAGCGCAGUGUCAUUUCUGUGGUUUCAGGCGGCCUCAGCCCCUGCCGGAAUCCCACGCCCCACGGCGGCCAGGCAGCCCUUCCAUCUUGGGGGACUGGGGAGGGGACAGCGAGUGACUGACUCCUUAGAAGCAGGCAAAACCGCACGGCUGGCAACGGGGCCGCAUUUCCCUGCAGCAGCAAUGCGCCUUUUAGGGGAGGAGCGGGCAUUUGGGGUCUCUUGUCCCAGCGGCCAGGCCUGAACCCGCGCCUCUUGGCAGAGUGCCCUGCUUUAUAAGUAGUCAAUCUUGCCCGAUUCUGGGGGCGAUCCCGGAUAACGGGCCAGUCUUGCCUGAGCCCACUAACUCUGUGCCAAGUUUUCAGUCCCCUCUCCCUUCCAUACCUCAAACCGUUCUUGCUGAACCCAAGCCUGACUAUGAAAGCCAGUGUAUGUGGCUCGGAGUUUGGUAACUAUUUGGGGGUGGAGCAGAUGACUCAUUAUUAAGACCACGAUUCAAGGAUGAGCCUUCAUUCAUUAAGUUUGCUCUUUUACUUUGUUUUUAAACUUUGAAGAACCUUUAGUUCCCUUGACCCAGCCCUGAGACAGACGAAGGCACGGGCUUGAAGGAGCUGAGAUAUUGACAGAUACUCAUCUCUCUAGCACUCAAUGGGCAGAUCAACGCUGCCAGACUGUGGGUCCUAAUCCAAGGCCCAGCUGCUACGUGGGUUGCUGAAGGGUGUUGAAACCACAAGUACAACUUGACACCACUGAGCCCACGGUGCUUGUCAAUAAUCUGUGAAUUAGGUGCAGAGAUUGUCACUGUAGAUCAUAACAGUUUCUGAAGGACUCAUUACAGCCUAUCGUGUCAAUGAUCUUCAAAUUAAGGAGGGGGGCUGGGGCGGGAGAGAAAAGGAAUGGGGAGAGCCUACAAAAAAGGGAAGAAGGUUGGGAGGGGAGAUAAAAGUCAGAGUCCUAGCUCCGAAGGAGCCUUUAAAGAUUAUCAUCAGGCUAGUCAUCUGAGAAUUCCAUUGGGAUGGGUUUGGAAACCCAACUCCAUCUGAGCCAGGGCUGGAAAAGGGGCAAUAGGGAGUGAGUAGAAGUGGGCCCCUGGGAAGGCAGACUUCUCAGACAUUUCUUUUGAGGCCAGAAGAGCUUUCAGGAGAGGGCUCCAGAUGUCAAUGGGAGGCCUUGAGCAUGCCAGGCCGCCCAGGAUGGGUGCACACUUUGAUUUAGAGCACUUUCCAGGGGUAGCCACCGCUGCAACUCCGAGAAAAAGUGGGUAGUAGUUUUGUUUAGGGCUGAUGGUGUAGGUGAUUUUUUUUUUUAAUGAUUUGCUUUCAGCUUCUUUUCACACAAACAGGUGAAAGACUUCCUUCUUUUUCCUUUGAUAGUACUCCUGUCCCUCACACAUGUUAACAGAUCUAAUUUCUUUCCCCAACCUGCUUUUUGAGGUGCCAAACACCUCUGCCUUCUGCCCUUUCAAAAGUGUUGUCACUUUUUGAGUUUGUAUUAUGUCUGAUCGUACUUCUGCAAAGGGGGCUUGAAGGUAACACAGAAGCAGUGCACACGAUGAGAUCUCCAGAAGAAAGAAGACAAAUCCCAUUUCAGGAGUUUGGAAGGAACCAGACGAAGGGAGAAAUGUUCUCCCUUCUUGGUGGAUUGCCGGUGCAGUGAGUGUGAAGCUUGGCAUGCACUGGCGUUGUCAUUCAUGUACCAUUUAAUAUAGUCUAGAGAAAUCUCAAGGAAGCUUCAGUUUGUUUUCCCACAAAGGUUGUGGUCACAACUCAAUGAAAUAAUCACAGUCGGAGAAUUUAAAAUGGUGACUGUCUUUUUCCUAACAUCAGGGUAACAAUCCUAGUCACUGGAAAAUUGGGAUUCUAAGGAAUCCCUGUUCCUUUGGGAUGAUUAAUUGUGCAAGAUAGCGUGGUCAGUCAGGGAGAUAUGUAUUUAGACUCCCAAGCAAUGAUUUAGAGGUGUAACAGGGCCAUGGAUUUGUUGGGCCACUUGCAGUUCCUGGUGCUCUGUUGGCUCGGUUUUGUUUUUGUUUUUCAUUCCUGUCUUCUGAUUUUUAAAAUCAAAAUCAUAGGUUCAUUUUUUGUCAAUGUAACUGGAAAACACUGGUAGCAGUCUCUUUAAAUUCUCAGUUUGUCUUUUUUUUUUUUAAGAGAAUUUCUAUUUAAAAUAAUUAGAUCAUUUAAUGGGCACACUGCAUUUUCCCCUGGACAACAGCUGCAGUGCAGAGACAGGUCUUACGUUAAAACUACUUGACAAUUCAGAAAUGGAAAUGAAAUCGUGAAACGGGAAUCCUUUUUGCCAGAAAAUAUUUGAGCUGGGAUAUAUGUAGAAGAUACAUAUAUAUGAAAUACUCUAAGCAAUAUGAUGACUGUUAUAUAUAGCCCUGAAGACAUACACAAGUGAUUAUAUAUUACUUUUGUUGCUAUAAUUUGAAGUAAGGGAGAAAUAUAUUUGGUUUUCUUUAUAUCCUUGAAUUCUUUUUAAAAUGUAUUUAUUUCAUCAGUGGGAUUCAGAUGAAAGAGAGUGAAUAAAAAAAGGAGCUGGAUUCAGAGCAGCUCUGCAUUCCUUAGGUUUCAAGGGUCCUUACAGCCCUUGAGUGAAAUUAUUUGGUGAAAUUGGGUCUGGACUGAAAUAGCAUUUGUUAUCCCCUUGUUCAUUUGUUACGUGUAAUACCACUUCUGGAAAUUAAAGGCAAGGUGCUGAAGGGACAGACAAGAAGAAAAAAUAUAAUUAAGGAAUUUUAAAUUCCAAUCUACCAUGCAUCCAUAUGCAUAUUUAUGUCUUAGUAAAUAAAAAAGGGAUAGAGAUAUGUGCUUGCUCUGUGUAUCAUCUAGAAACAUGUAUUAUAGUUCCUGUCAAUAAUUUUUCACACUUCCAAAAUCUGACAAGUUUGGCAAUAGAAAGAAAAUGGAGGAAAUGUAGAUGAAAGAAUUUCUCUCAUUUUGAAAACUGCUUUAUAAAAAUUGCAGUAUCCCCUCUAGGAUCUCACGAGGGAUCCUUCACAGUCUAAAGCAAGUGAAGUUUGAUAACAGCACAGUUCUAUUCUAAUUUUUGCUCUUAGUUUCAAUAUCCUAACUUUUUCUGGCUUACUUAUUAUUUUUGGAAAAUAUGUGAUGCUUUUGUAAGGAAAAGAAAUUUUCUAAUGCUUUUCUUUACCUUCAUUGAUCUGUGUUUGUUUCACAUAUCUUGAAGAAUUAAGUGUUGAUCAUUCAGGAAGCCUUGUGGCACACUGCAAUUUGAGGUGAUGGAGGAACAUUUUUUUGCAACUUGGAAGAAGGAAACAUUUUUUAAAUUGGCUUAUACCAGUCUCCUGACUCUGUAAUUCUCAGUUUUCUUGAGUUACGGGAUAAAUAUCAAUAAAAUGUCAUCUUACCAGAUUGCACCAGCAUUGUCCUACAUGUUGGAAUUUUCCUCUAUUUUUGGCUUUUAAAAUCACAAACUUUUGUUGGCCUGCCGUACUUCUCUUUUUAGUUUAUAUGCCCCUUACCACACUACUGGUAUCAUCUUUUUCACUGCAGUCUGUUCAGUGCUAUGGUCGCUUUCAGUGGAAAAGGCUGGAAGGUUAGGAUCCGGAGGAAACAUAACAAAAAAAGGGAGAAAAAAGCCCUUCAUUUGGCCAAAUCUGGCUCCUAAUAUAUUUAACCACUUCCAGAAUUAGAAAGCCUUUCUGUACAUUUUAUUCUAUUUUUCUCUCUUUUUUUUUUUUUCCUUACGUAAUGAAAUUAAAACUUUUGGAGCCCACAGUUGACAUUUUUCAGAAAAUUGAGUUAUCAAGGCAGUAAUUAUUUCACGGGGAGAUAAAACUCUCAUAGCCCUAACUGUCAAAUAGGGCCCUUUUCAGAUUUUAAUUACAAAAUAAAAUUAGUCUGCUCUUCCUCGGAAUGGUUUGUGAGUGGUUAAACAGAGCUUUCCCCCCAAUACUGGUGGUCGUCAAACUCUGCUAAUUAGCAAUGCUGAGAAAUUCCAGUUAACAAGGACAUUCUCCAAGACUCUGCAGGUUCCCUGCCGUUUGCCUUCAUUUCCAUAAGAAGAUUAAGAGAGGAGGGAACACACUCAAAUGCAGAUGCAGAAAAGAAGCGUUUUUUAACAAGCAUCAUAAUAGUAAGAUGCUUGGCUAGUUCUCACCUAAUUACUGCAAGUUAAACCUCUAUUUGCCACUAAGAAGAAAAAAUAAGUCUACAGUCCCCUAUCUCCAUAAAAUUGUUAGUUGGCUUCAGAUAUAAUACUUGAGGAGGGAUGAGGGGAGUUGAGGAGAGAAAUAUCAGUGCAAAAGAUAAAACUGAGCUACACUUAAUCAGUUAAGGGUUUGGGGCUGGGGCCUAUAGUAAAACAAAAUUAAAUCAGAAUAUCCUAGGAGUUAUGCAUUUUGUUCUUAAUUUCUAAUCUUGCUCUAAAAGUAUACAGCUUUUUGCUGCCCAUGAAAGGGAAAUGUUAUACUUCCUUUAGAUUAAGCACUUUAAAUUUUCAUAAAUUGUGCCAAUGGCAACAUUUUUAAAUUCUUGAGGGAUGAAGCACCCUCUUCCAAGUCUUAUUUUGAUACCCUAGUAGUCAAUGGUGUAUUGUUACUAGUACUGUAGCCAUCUGUUAUAAACCUAAAACAGUGCUGCUUCUAUCAUCUAUUGUGAUUAUUAUAGUUAUUAUUAUAUUUAGGGGCCAGUGAUGAUGCUGGAUUGAAAUAGAGUGGCCGGUGAUCUGAUUUUUUUUUUUUUAAUGCAUAUGUUCUAAAAAAUCUAAUGAGAAAAUUGUUCCUGCUAUCACCAUCUUCUUUAAUCUUAUUUUCAUAGCACAUUAUUAUGCAUAAAUGCCAGCCACAGUUAGUUUAUUGCCUUGAUAAGUACAGCAGGCUUAAUUAAAAUAAAGCUGUAAAUAAAUGCAACCAAUGAUAACACAAUUGUAAUGUAUUUCCAUAGCUUAUUUAUAUGAUAAAAGCAAUUAACAAAAGACCUAGCCAGCCCCUUUAACCUCUUAAAUGCAUUAUUAUAGAGUUCAGGCACAAACACAUGCAUCUGAGAAUGUAUAAAAGCUUUUAUAUAUUAUCCCAAGGAAAUAUUUGUGCCUCCUACUACUACCCCUUGAGAGAGAAGAUUACAAACAUUUGCUUCUGUAACUAUCCAUUAUUAAUAUUUAUUUUAAUACACAUACACCAUUAUCCACAUCAAUCCCUUGUUUGUUUGUUUGUGUGUUUGUUUUUCUUUUCCUUCAAACUUAAUUAUCCGUAAGCUUUUUUAAAGUUUUCAGAAUAAUGCUUCUAAGUGCAGACCAAUGCAUACGCAAUCAUAAAGUGAAUGCUUGGUCUGCCCUUCGUGGCAUCUGGACAAUCAUAAUUCAUUCAUAUGUUGAAUCUCAUAAUUUGUACCUAUUUUUUCCCAAGGUUUAACCUCCUACUUAUCUGGAGGUUAUAUGCACAUUUCUAAGUUAAGCAAAUUAAAUCUGAUUCUUAUGAUUUAGUUCCAUAGCUUAUAUGAUAUGUUAACUUUUCUUUUGUUUAGAUUACGUGUAAUUAGUGGAUCUUCCUCCCAGUCCCCUCAUUUAAAAAAAAAAAAAUUAUUUCCAAACACCUUUUUUUAAAGGUAAAAGCAAAACUGUAGUCUUGGAAAAGCGAAUUCACCAGUAGGGGGCGCACCAGCUACAUCCCUAAAACCAGACGCGCUGAAAAGCCUGGUGGCUGCGGUGUUGUCUUCCGAGCCUCUAACCUUUUCUCUUCCUAAUCUCCAUGUCCGUGUUUAGCUUAAUAUUACACCUCGAAUAAACAGAAGA
RNAcentral lists this long non-coding RNA (10272 nucleotides) under Lynx pardinus (Iberian lynx). The stretch from base 14 to 289 matches the Rfam family "SOX2 overlapping transcript exon 3". Lineage: Eukaryota; Metazoa; Chordata; Mammalia; Carnivora; Felidae. The record is from RNAcentral.